CCAAUAGCGUAUAUUAAAGUUGUUGCAUUUAAAAAGCUCGUAGUUGAAUUUCGGGAUUAGUACGUUGGUCGUGCCUUAGGUACGUACUGGUGUUACUGGUUCCUACCUUCUGACGACCCAUCAUGUCAUUAAUUUGGUGUGGCGGGGAAUCAGGACUGGUACUUUGAAAAAAUUAGAGUGUUUAAAGCAGGCUAUCGCUUGAAAACAUUAGCAUGGAUUAAUGAAAUAGGACGUUGACCCUAUUUUGUUGGUUUCUAGGAUUGACGUAAUUAUUAAUAGGGAUAGUUGGGGGCAUUAGUAUUCAAUUGUCAGAGGUGAAAUUCUUGGAUUUAUUGAAGACUAACUACUGCGAAAGCAUUUGCCAAGGAUGUUUUCAUUAAUCAAGAACGAAAGUUAGGGGAUCGAAGACGAUCAGAUACCGUCGUAGUCUUAACCAUAAACUAUGCCGACUAGGGAUCGGAUGAUGUUAAUUUUUUAAUGACUCAUUCGGCGCCUUACG
RNAcentral lists this ribosomal RNA (499 nucleotides) under uncultured Glomeromycotina. RNAcentral's name for it is "partial small subunit ribosomal RNA". It matches the Rfam family "Eukaryotic small subunit ribosomal RNA", at positions 591 to 1092 of the family's 1831-position model. Lineage: Eukaryota; Fungi; Glomeromycota. The record is from RNAcentral.